RNAcentral lists this long non-coding RNA (1899 nucleotides) under Amphibalanus amphitrite. RNAcentral's name for it is "uncharacterized LOC122386634". Lineage: Eukaryota; Metazoa; Arthropoda; Thecostraca; Balanomorpha; Balanidae. The record is from RNAcentral.
UGCAUUUUUCUUACUUUCUGCAGAAUUUCCUGCAAAAUUUUACUGUAGUUUAAGCUGCGUUUCCUGCAGAUUGUGUUCACAGACCAAUGGGAGACAAGUAUUUCUUCAUCAACAGGUUUAUUCGCCAUCAAUUGGUCUAGCUGGUGUUUUUCGUAUGCGCAGCUUAUGUCACAGCUGCGUAAGAACACGUUCGCUUUAAAUCAUUAUGGGUAUUUCUUUUCGGAAUAUCAAAGGUCAAUGUUGAUGUGUUUCAUAAGAUUUGUGGUGGCGGGAUUAUCGUCAUUAACUAAUUACUUGAUAUCAGAUUUUAAUGGGGAGUGGUGUAAUUCCCGCACGACUGUUGACUUUCAUUGUAAUUGCCUGAGCUGGUUCCUGGUCCGCCUCAGAUAGCAGGAUGGUGUGUCAAGUAUUAAGUUGACAGGAAGGCUUUCCGGUUAUGACUGAGGCCGGUAUCUCACCUGUCCUGGCUACGCCAAAUCACUGCGGAUGCCGGAUGCCGAGGACCGGAGAGCCAACUGCUUUGAGGCGUGCCGCGUGAGCUCUGUGGCGUGGCUCGAGUGACGGCUACGGCGCCGUCGACCUGGUUGAAUAGCUGGGGCCUGGACGAGGGUGCCCUUAGUACGGUGGCCAAUCGGUUACGUCCGAGGGGCGCUCGAACACGCUGCCGUCGCGUGGCUGCCGGCGGCCGCCCCCUCGCACGUGAAUCUUCUGGAGCGAGGACUGCGAGAGGCGGCCGCAUCAUCACCUGUGUCCGCGCUCAACACCGUGCCACGCACUAAUGGCGGAAGCCCGACUUUCUCCGAUGGAGGAGAGAAGCUGGACGCUGGCUGCCAGGCUGCUGGGGAGGGCGCUGGCUCUGCCAUCAGGGGACCCCCUGCGCGCGACCGCCAAGGCCUCGGCACCGGCGCGCCUGUCUUCGGUCCGAGGCUGGAGAUUGCGAGGCCGCCAGGCCUGGGCGAGAGCGAGAAUCCCACCGUGUCAACAGACGGCUGGCGUCACCUUCCGGUUGGACGUGUGCCCGAUCCGGGCUGGGGCCACGGCGGCGGAAAGGGAAAGCGUGGCUACGCUGCACCUCGCGUUCCUGCCCCUGUGUGCUGUUCGGCUUUGGACGGACGGAUCUGCGGAGGGCGGAGUCUUCAGGUGCUGGGCGGGAGCCGUGCUGGUCUGGCUGUAUUUGUAUUUGUAUUUACAUUUAAGAGCGAUCCACAUACAAAGUGCGUGGCGAUUACUGCUCAGAAUCCGUAUCCGCGGCUGCUGAUCUAAUCAUUCAAAACAUUUGCACAUUCACUCACGUCAAAACAAGGACAAGGCUGGACGAAGAGGCCGAGGAACUGCGGGCCCCGGCCGGAGAGCUGUGCUUUAGCUACCGCGCGGAGAUGGUGGCGCUGGUGACCGGUCCGGAGACCCUACUCGGAAGAGACAGAGACCAGGACCUGCGUUCCGUACCUAUCUGCUAACUGUGCGAUGGUGCUGGUGUAGUGCAGCAUUUUUGGAUGGAUAGCUACAUUUCACGAUUAAAUAGCUGUUACGUUUCAGUGCAGGUGGCGUGACGAACAAUGUGGUAGUUAUCUGUUGGCCACUUCUGCGGCCGCUGCUAUUUCCUACUCGAAGGCGGGCGCGCUGUUUGGCUGGGCCGCCAGGAUGUUCCCAUUAUGUGUCGACGACAAAGCGAGUGUAUUCGUGUUCUUUUAAUGCACAGAGGUCUGUUGUAUAUUUGAAGUUUUAUUUUAAGUUGACGAUUGCGAAGGGCAGAUUCAUCUUCUCUCUUUCAUUUGUGUUGCCACUUUAUCGUUCAUGUUUGUUAUAAGUGUCCAUGCGGCUUGGUUGUCAUCUUUAUUCCUGAUGUAUUUUAUUUUACGAACAUGCUGGUGAUCAAUGCAAUACACUUUUGGUUAAUAA